AAUGAUUUUUGGGUGAAUGUAGAAUUGAUGCUGUUACUCCGCUCCGCUUCACACUUGACUCGCUUAGUCGCUUCUAUAGUUCUACCUCAAUAGGUACUCGUAUAGCUUUCAAGUUACAAGAUUUAAGUUUAAGUUCAGAGAUUGAAAUAUAAAAUAUUAUUCUGAUUUUCAGACCAUUAUGUGAAGGAUUCAGCAUUACGAUUUACGGCUCCAAGAAAAAACCCUAGGUACCCGUAAUGAUUUGAUAAAUCUUCAAUAAAUUGAUGCAUAGAUAUCAGUCACACAUGUCCAACUUGGAAUCUUGAAUAAUGCUUUAAACUUAAGUGAUAGAGAAAGAAAUGUAUUCAGCUUCAAAAGGCAAUAUUUAGUGAUCAGUUGUCAUUACUGACUAGGAUCAAUUAUUUCAUCACUAGUAGAUAUCAGGCAACCGAUAGAACACGAAUUACAGAAUUGAAGAAUGAAUUGGUUUUUGGGUAGAAACCCAACAAAUUGUGGAAUUGUAAACAAUACUAUAUUUGAUAAUAGCACUUGUACUGAAGAGGAAAUUACAAAUAAGAAAUGGAAAGUGAUACAUGUUACCAGGCAUUUAAGAGGCUUGGUAUCUCUUUUAGUUUCCUCAAAUUUCAGGAUGAUUGACUAAACUCUGCCCCCUCUUUAUUUUUGGUGAACUAAUGCCACACUUAUUCAGCAAAGGUCCUCCUAACCAACUCACAAUUUGCUAAAACAAAUCAACCUAAUUACAAAUAUAUCUUAAUCAAAUCUUGGCUACACGGACUCCAUCUCUGGUUGCAUGGACUCUUCUUUCUUUAGCGACUCCAUGACUUGAACUUCCAUUUUUGCCCCUUUAGCUUGUUCAGAACCUUUUUACCCUCCUGGCAUAUGUGAACCACACCAGUGGCAUAUCAGAAACUCAUGUAAUGAACACAGAUAUAAAAAAUACUUAGCUAUCUUGAAAUAGAAAAUAUCUAAUGGAAAAAGAAAGAACGUAUAUAGUUGUCAAGCUAAUUUUGGCCUGACAUGUAUGUUUUUCUCAAGGUGAAGUGAAAGUCUCUUGUUUAUUGCUUAAUCAUUUCUCAAGGUGAAGUGAAAGUCUCUUGUUUAUUGC
RNAcentral lists this long non-coding RNA (1105 nucleotides) under Olea europaea subsp. europaea. The record is from RNAcentral. Lineage: Eukaryota; Viridiplantae; Streptophyta; Magnoliopsida; Lamiales; Oleaceae.